AACAUAAUUUUUUCAAUUCGAGUCAGCUUUCUUGAAAUUAUUUGUUGCGAUAACCGAUGAACAAGUAUUUGCUCGUGUUUACUUUUUUUUUCUCAUCUUUUUCUUCUUCCUUUGUUUUUUUUUUUUUUUUUUUUUUUUUUUUUUUUUUUUUGAUAUCGUUGAUCGUUAUUUGAAUUUUUCCGCCUCAUUGUUGCCAAUCGAGUAAGAUCGAACUUACCUCAUCUUCCCUCAUAUUUUAUUAUAAACUCGAAUGGUCGCGAAUUAUUAAGAUCUUGGAUUUCUUCGUUAAAUCUUUUUUACCCAAAACUCGAUGAUUCAUAUAUCUUAUUAAAUCUUUUCUUCCCUCGGCUCUUACUUUAUAUCGAUAAUUUUCUUAUCUCUGUCUUGGCCCAGCGAACGAAAAAAAUGGCCUUAUAAAUGUGUGUGUGUUUAUCUAUAGCUAUAUAUAGAUAUACCAUUAGUCUUGCGAACGGAAAUAGAUCGAUACGUCGUUUCUCUCGCUUGAAUACUUGAACGUAGUAUAAACAAUAAGAUCGAAAGGUUAUCCUUUGACAUUUAGAUAUAUGUACGUUUCGAACAAAGAUAUUCAAAUGUAGGUUAUAUUCUAUUUGCACGUAAUGAAGGAAAAAAUGUGUAUGAUUUAAAAACGAGGAUAUAUCGACGAACAAUUUCGAGAACGGUCUAUAGAACGUUAACAUGGAAUAAUUGCUAACAAAGGAAAGUGACCUUUCGAAACUAUAGAAGAGAACGACAACGAUAUGUGUGUAUCGACUGGAAGUUAAUUUAAGUGUCGUAAGACUUAACGAUUCGCGAACAAGUGGAGAAGAUUAAAUUCAAGUUUAAAGGAGUGGCCGUUUCGAUCUAAUAACGAACGUCUCCAUCUAUAAUAUAUAUUUCGAUUCGUUCGACCUUUAUUUUCUUAUAUAGAUAGAUAUAUUAACUUUUUCCUAUGCUUUUCUAAUGGCGAUGAUCUAGCGAAAUAAAUAAACAGGAUAAUGCUAACAAUUCCGUUUUUCUCUCGCCGUUUCAAUGUAUUGGUGGUCCCCAGAAAUGGCCAGAGGGAUAUAGAAGGAACUGGAAUCACGUACGUCAAUCACGCUCUGUUUAUCGUACGUGUGCCAAUCGUUCCCAUUUAGAUUGAAUUUUUUUCCCUCGGACUAAUAUGAACGGUACUGCUCGAGUUCUUACUGCUCGAGGAGAAAGAGGAUAUCUUCUGCUUCUUAUGCUUCUCGUCCUCCUCUUCGUCUUCGUCUUCGUCUUCGCCUUCGCCUUCGCCUCGCCUUCGCCUUCGCCUCGCCUUUGCCUUCGCCUUCGCCUUCGCCUUCGUCUUCUCCUUCUCGUGAUAAAUGAAACUUUUCGAGGGUAGAAAACCUUUUUCCGUAUGGUCUUGUAGCCUGGCUUACUCGGUUCGUUACGUUCAUCGCUCGAUAUACACGUAACUUCCUUUUCCCCUUCUAAAAUAAGGAAAAAAAGAACCGUGAAAAAGUGACCGAUAUGAUAAGGCAAAUUAAAGAGAUUUUUUUUCUACCUAUUAUCGAUUAGUAAUAUUACAUUUGACAAAUAAUUAUUAGUAAUGUCAAAGUGAAAAAAGGGCGAAGCAGAAGGAAGGAUAGAAAAGAAAAAUUCUCUGGCGAGAAGAGAGAGGCUUCAUGGUUCCUAAAGAAAACGAAAUUGAAACGGUCGACGGGUUUGUAAGGCCGUCUUAAGUACGAGACCCCCAUCUUUGAAUCCGCUGAAACUUUUCUUUUAACUUUUUCGAAUGGGGCGGGUCUCGAAAACUUCGAAACCGACAGCAAGUAAAAGAGAAAGAAAAAGAGAGUGGCCCUCGGCGUCCAAUUAUAAAAUUCUUUUCCUUUCUCACGACUUCCACGAGCUCCGAGAUAAAAUACACACACAGACACGUAUACACAUAUGUACAGGCAGUCGCACACGCCGCACGCACAUUUAUGUAUACAUAUAUAUAUACGUACAAGAGGAAACGAAGAAAAUGAAAUAAAUUUUUCGACUUGGCCUCGUCUUGGAUUCAUAACCUCUUUAAAAAGUUCUACCGAAGAGGCGAAUGUCCAUUAAUAUUUCGUCAUCGUCCAAUAAGCAAAGCCCUUUUCAUUCAUAUAUUCACGCCAACUUAUACACAUAUUAACGGGUAUUCACAUCGAUUCAUAUAGUUCAUACGUAAACCCACGCAUAAUACUCACACAUAAAUCCAUAAAUGGAUCCAAAAGUUUUCUCAUACGAAAUGCUUUUACUCGUCGAAUACCUUUCUCGCACCAUCUCUCUCUUUCGCCCGCACAUAUACAAGCAAAAUUCAAAUGCAAAUGAAGAUAGAUAUGUACGCAAAAAAGAAGCAUUGACAAUAUUUUCCUGUUGUAUUUAUCAAGUAUAUUACAAGUAUAUAAUUUAUGAUAUUGUUAAUACUUUUUCAAUAUAAUAUUUAAAUGAAUCGUACGUUCGACUCCUACGUCGAUAAACAAGUUCCAAUUUUUGGUGGAAAGAAGAGAAAAAGAAAAUUUCCCCAUCAAUCUUUUAUGGAUUGAUGGGCAAAGAGCAAGCUACUUACGUAUAUAACGUAUUUGGAUUCGAUUCACGACAUUUGUCGUACCGUUAUAUGACUUUCAACACAUGCUGCUAUGCCGGAUGCAUGAGUUGUCAGGAAGUCGAGUCGAAUCAACCAACGAGCUUCCACUGCGUCGUCCAUCGUCGUCCAUGUUGAAUUCGCGUGACUUCGUUUCCCAAACGCUUUGCUGCAUGGUCGAUAAUUAGCUUGGCAUUUUCCGUUAGAAAAACGUUCGUUCGUUCGAAAAAAAAAAAAAAAAAAAAAAAAAAAAAAAAGAAAAAAAAAAAAAAAAAAAAAAAAAAAAAAAAGAAAAAAAAAAAGAAAAAAAAGAAAAAAUGAUAAAUAAAUAACACGACUCCAAUUAUACGUACAGAAGAGCCGAGUGAUCUCGUUAAAGAUGCUGACCGUCCAUUUCUCCACCGUAAAGCUAGUUAACCUCAAAUACUACCUCAAUUUCGUUCCAAGUAACUCGCCACUUCGCUUUUGCAUUUAAAUAACGUUUACCGACUGCAUCCUCGUAUACAGAGUGACUCGUUUCUAUCUGCAAAUAAAUAUACUUUAAUGAAAAGAUCUUAUAAAAUAAUCAAACUUACAAACAAAUUUUGGCAAUUUUGGUCAUUUACGUCAUUUACAUACCGAGUGAUCGAUAUAAUUUACAACAUUUUAUAAAAUAACAAGAUCACAAUAUUUCGAUAUAUCAAUGAUCGAAUAAAAAUGAAAUUUAUUUAAUGUUGACGAUUUUUGAUAAACAAAACCGUAUCCGCUUAUGAAUGAUACGGGGCCACUCUGUACGUGCAUACGUACAGAUAAAUGGCUCGUAUUUGUUAGCAGGGGAUGGGAGUGCAGUCGCAUAAGUUUCUUUGACCGGUUGGAAAUUCGACGUGGCAUAUUCCAACGAAACUGAUGGUCACCAGCACGAUAAAUACAUUACUGCCAUUUCUACUAUCCAGAAUCAUGGAAAAGCUCUGAGAUUCUCAGAGCUUUUACGACUUUCGAUAACGUACCAUGAAAAGUAUCUUUCCGGACACGAGUGCUCUUCAAUGUUUCCAAGUGAAAAGAUACUUCGAACUUGCUCUCUCGCGAGUCCUAUGAAAAUGUUU
Vespa velutina is the source of this 3654-nucleotide long non-coding RNA. RefSeq lists it as uncharacterized. Lineage: Eukaryota; Metazoa; Arthropoda; Insecta; Hymenoptera; Vespidae. The transcript has 2 exons. The record is from RefSeq and is a predicted model, not a curated record.